This 74-nucleotide transfer RNA is filed under the name Streptococcus agalactiae. Its description in RNAcentral is "tRNA-Ile". It matches the Rfam family "tRNA". Rfam says of the family: Transfer RNA (tRNA) molecules are approximately 80 nucleotides in length. Lineage: Bacteria; Bacillati; Bacillota; Bacilli; Lactobacillales; Streptococcaceae. RNAcentral also lists the same sequence under 4 other names. The record is from RNAcentral.
GGGCGCGUAGCUCAGGUGGUUAGAGCGCACGCCUGAUAAGCGUGAGGUCGGUGGUUCGAAUCCACUCGUGCCCA